RNAcentral lists this ribosomal RNA (255 nucleotides) under uncultured bacterium. RNAcentral describes it as "partial 16S ribosomal RNA". It matches the Rfam family "Bacterial small subunit ribosomal RNA", at positions 99 to 354 of the family's 1533-position model. The record is from RNAcentral.
CGGACGGGUGAGUAACGCGUGGAAAACCUGCCGUAUACUGGGGGAUAACACUUAGAAAUAGGUGCUAAUACCGCAUAAGCGCACAGCUUCGCAUGAAGUGGUGUGAAAAACUCCGGUGGUAUACGAUGGUUCCGCGUCUGAUUAGCUUGUUGGUGGGGUAAUGGCUCACCAAGGCGACGAUCAGUAGCCAGCCUGAGAGGGUGAACGGCCACAUUGGGACUGAGACACGGCCCAAACUCCUACGGGAGGCAGCAG